Molecule: ribosomal RNA, 495 nt
Filed under: uncultured bacterium
Lineage: Bacteria
Description: partial 16S ribosomal RNA
Rfam family: Bacterial small subunit ribosomal RNA
Source: RNAcentral
GACGAACGCUGGCGGCGUGCCUAAUACAUGCAAGUAGAACGCUGAAGGAGGAGCUUGCUUCUCUGGAUGAGUUGCGAACGGGUGAGUAACGCGUAGGUAACCUGCCUGGUAGCGGGGGAUAACUAUUGGAAACGAUAGCUAAUACCGCAUAAGAGUAGAUGUUGCAUGACAUUUGCUUAAAAGGUGCAAUUGCAUCACUACCAGAUGGACCUGCGUUGUAUUAGCUAGUUGGUGGGGUAACGGCUCACCAAGGCGACGAUACAUAGCCGACCUGAGAGGGUGAUCGGCCACACUGGGACUGAGACACGGCCCAGACUCCUACGGGAGGCAGCAGUAGGGAAUCUUCGGCAAUGGACGGAAGUCUGACCGAGCAACGCCGCGUGAGUGAAGAAGGUUUUCGGAUCGUAAAGCUCUGUUGUAAGAGACGAACGAGUGUGAGAGUGGAAAGUUCACACUGUGACGGUAUCUUACCAGAAAGGGACGGCUAACUACGUG